GUUGUAGUAAUCAUUCAGUCAACGAAUCCCCCUAUUCCUAAAGGAUGUCGUUGAACGAACAACAGAUCCCUAAGUGUACGGUGGUGGAGGGGAACGAGAUCGGUGGCGAUGGACAAUGGCCCAGUCCAUCUAGUAUCAAGACUACUACAACGAGAAGGGACAAUUCGUUGCUUAUAGCAGUGAGAUCUAUAUAUAUAAUUGACCAGCGACGAUGUGCUCAAAGCUUCCAUGGCUACAGUUAAUUUGGAGAUGGUUGAUUCCAAUUAGCUGUUGUGCUCUGGGUACACGAAGACGAUAUUUUCAAUCAAUACCUAGUAACCCAAAUGGGUUAUGGGGACUCCCCAUCUGUAUGUGUGUGUUUGCCUAAAACCCCAAUCAGUUUCAAAGGAUCAGAGCUUGAUUCUGGUUACUUGACAUUUAGCUUUGACAUAUUUUCAUCACAGCCUGUGUACAGCGAACUAAAUCAAGAAGAUAUAGAAGUAUAUAUAUAACACAGUACAAGGAAAUACCCGUUCUCAAUGUUAGUAGGUGUAAAUCUCGUAAUUCUGUCCGCUCCUACACAUAUACAGAGAAGACAGGCCGGCCGAAAGAGCAAUGGCUAUUUCAUUAAAAGUUUUAGUAUAAAUUUUGUGGUCGUUUGUGCUUCAUUAAACGCAACAAAAUAACUCAGCACUGCUUCGGAGGAUCAUAUUGAGCCAAAUUUUCUUACAGAACCCAAUAUCAGUGCUUUAGGCACAAAACCUCGUAGGAAACAAGAGUAUAUGGCAUGAAAAUGGUUACAACUGCGAAUCGAAAUAGUUGUUACCACCAGCAGACAUUCUUAAGAUUCUAGCAAAGAUUAUACAUAUAUAAAAAAAAGAGAGAGAACUUUUGGUGAGACAACAGUGCAUGCAUACAAGAAAUAAAUAGGCCAUGGGAACGUACGAUAUAUAUAUAUACAGAUAGAUAGAUAACUGUAGACAUAAAUAUACCCUCGUGUAUAAAGUUUUUUCGUAAGGUCGUACUAAUCCAGAACUUCAUGUAGCAUAUUCAGUUUUAGAUUCUUCCGCUUCUCAUGGAGCAUCGGGUGACGCGAGAUAUCUUCUACCUAGCAAGGUUGCAAACCCUCGCUAUGAAUUCCCACCCUGCCUGUCAAUAGAAGGUAUUUUUAAUAUUCCACUCCUACACACAGUUUAGAUAGAGAUGGUGAAACCACUCGUUAAUAAGUAUCAGUAAAUACUGCACACUGCGGAGUUCAAAGAAGAGCGCCGUUCUAUCGAUCCAGAAUCCAACCAACAUCGAUAAACGAUUACUUAGGUCAAUUCAAAAUUCAAUCAACUAUAUAUCUAUCUAUCUCUCUCUUUAUCUAUCUAUCUAUAUAUAUAAACCCACGCCUUCUUUCUGGUAGUGCCCCAGUUUGGCCGCAGCCCAAUAACUGAAACGAAUAGCAAGAUGUUGCUUUCUGUAACGUGGAAAUAAAUAAACGUUAAAUUUUGGGAUCAAGGACGAAAAAUCCAGGAUCAUGUUAAAAGAAGACGAAACGAAAUGUGUUGGACAAAGAUGAUUAAUGCAGCGGAGAGUGACUCAAAGUGCUUAUAGAUCAGAUUUGCAUCGAACGGAACUUAUUUUCAACCAAAAGAUAAAGAGCAAAUCACUUGAAAAUAAGUUUAAAAUGCAUUGACAAAGCAUUCUCCCUCCUGUUAAAAUCAAGGGACUUCACGGACACAACAGAUAUUCACCAGAUAAGCCAAAUCCGUAACGUAAGGUUUCGAUUCCCAGCUGCUGAAGUCAUUUAUUUUCACUUCAAUCAAGAAGCUUAAUAAUUUACCCUUGGCCAAUCAAUGCACGAAUGUCAUACAGUUCUAGUUCUCUCACUACACAACUACUAAACUUCUGUAAUUAAUGAAGUAGUGGCUUUUGUAUUUAAAUAAAUCAUAAUGAUAAUUGUU
Octopus bimaculoides (California two-spot octopus) is the source of this 1928-nucleotide long non-coding RNA. RefSeq lists it as uncharacterized. The record is from RefSeq and is a predicted model, not a curated record. NCBI's taxonomy places the organism in Eukaryota, Metazoa, Mollusca, Cephalopoda, Octopoda, Octopodidae.